Molecule: ribosomal RNA, 425 nt
Filed under: uncultured bacterium
Lineage: Bacteria
Description: partial 16S ribosomal RNA
Rfam family: Bacterial small subunit ribosomal RNA
Source: RNAcentral
GUUAGGAAUAUUGGACAAUGGGCGCAAGCCUGAUCCAGCCAUGCCGCGUGAGUGAUGAAGGCCUUCGGGUUGUAAAGCUCUUUAGCCGAUGAUUAUAAUGACUGUAGUCGGAAAAUAAGCCCCGGCUAACUUCGUGCCAGCAGCCGCGGUAAUACGAAGGGGGCGAGCGUUAUUCGGAAUCACUGGGCGUAAAGCGUGCGUAGGCGGCUUUGCAAGUUGGGAGUGAAAGCCCAGGGCUCAACCCUGGAAUUGCUCUCAAAACUGCAAGGCUCGAAUUCGGGAGAGGAUAGCGGAAUUUCCAGUGUAGCAGUGAAAUGCGUAGAUAUUGGAAGGAACACCAGUGGCGUAAGCGGCUAUCUGGACGAGUAUUGACGCUGAGGCACGAAAGCGUGGGGAUCAAACAGGAUUAGAAACCCGAGUAGUCC